UACGGGGGGAGCAAGCGUUGUUCGGAUUUACUGGGCGUAAAGGGCGCGUAGGCGGCCACCGCAAGUCGACUGUGAAAUCUCCGGGCUUAACCCGGAAAGGUCAGCCGAUACUGCGGGGCUAGAGUGCAGAAGGGGCAACUGGAAUUCUCGGUGUAGCGGUGAAAUGCGUAGAUAUCAGGAGGAACACCGAUGGCGAAGGCAGCUCACUGGGACGGUACUGACGCUGAGGCGCGAAAGCGUGGGGAGCAAACAGG
RNAcentral lists this ribosomal RNA (254 nucleotides) under uncultured bacterium. RNAcentral's name for it is "partial 16S ribosomal RNA". It matches the Rfam family "Bacterial small subunit ribosomal RNA", at positions 524 to 776 of the family's 1533-position model. The record is from RNAcentral.